This is a long non-coding RNA of Oncorhynchus nerka (sockeye salmon), 329 nucleotides long. RefSeq lists it as uncharacterized. The transcript is spliced from 2 exons. The record is from RefSeq and is a predicted model, not a curated record. NCBI's taxonomy places the organism in Eukaryota, Metazoa, Chordata, Actinopteri, Salmoniformes, Salmonidae.
UUUUAUGGCAGACUACACCAAUUGGAGUUUUACCGCCACCUACUGUACGGCGAGUGAACGAAGAAGAAAAAUAUCUAUCCAAAUUAUUUAUAUCGUAGAUCGUUGUUACUUCCCUGAGGUUGUGUCGUGUGUCCGUACUCAUCUCUCGCCGCCCUUGUGUGGAUUAUCUGCUGUGCUCCUUCCUACCCAUCCGGACACUCUCACCUGGGUUUCUCAGCACGCUCACAUAGGAGGAUGCGCCCUAGUCCCUGGGUCGGAUUCCGUCUGAGUACAGUCUGUCUGUCCUGUUGCUGCUGUAACCUGUAUUCAUUAAACCAUCGUUGCUUGCA